GCUAAGGUAGCAUAAUCACUUGUUAUUUAAUUGGUAACUGGAAUGAAAGGUUAAACUAAUUUAUUAAGUUUGUGGGGCUAAAUAAGAGUUUAAAGUUAAGGUAAGAAUUCUUUAAUUUUUUAGGGGACGAUAAGACCCUAGAAGCUUAACGAGUGGUUGUUUUGUUUUAUAAAUUUGUUCGUUUUACUGGGGCGGUAAAAAUAAUUAAGCUAUUUGUUAUUUAAGGGAUCCUUAAAAUAAAGAAAAAAUGGAGAAGUUACUCUAGGGAUAA
Molecule: ribosomal RNA, 271 nt
Filed under: Gammarus sp. t TM-2021
Lineage: Eukaryota; Metazoa; Arthropoda; Malacostraca; Amphipoda; Gammaridae
Description: partial 16S ribosomal RNA
Source: RNAcentral